RNAcentral lists this unclassified non-coding RNA (206 nucleotides) under plant metagenome. RNAcentral's name for it is "partial contains small subunit ribosomal RNA, internal transcribed spacer 1, and 5.8S ribosomal RNA". The record is from RNAcentral.
UCUCCGUAGGUGAACCUGCGGAAGGAUCAUUCAUAAUAAGUGUUUUAUGGCACUUUUUUAAAUCCAUAUCCACCUUGUGUGCAAUGUCAGGGUUGGUCUCUUUGAUCAGCCCCAAACAUCAACUAUUAUCUCAACUCUUUGUCUGAAAAAUAUUAUGAAUAAAACAAUUCAAAAUACAACUUUCAACAACGGAUCUCUUGGCUCUC